UUGAGUGGUUAUGGCGGAGGGGGUACACCCGAUCCCAUUCCGAACUCGGUAGUUAAGUUCUCCAGCGCCGAUGGUACUGCGGCGUCAGGCCGUGGGAGAGUAGGACGCCGCUCAAC
RNAcentral lists this ribosomal RNA (116 nucleotides) under Actinomycetota bacterium. The record is from RNAcentral. Lineage: Bacteria; Bacillati; Actinomycetota.